Molecule: ribosomal RNA, 1433 nt
Filed under: uncultured bacterium
Lineage: Bacteria
Description: bacterial SSU rRNA
Rfam family: Bacterial small subunit ribosomal RNA
Source: RNAcentral
AGAGUUUGAUCCUGGCUCAGGAUGAACGCCGGCGGUGUGCCUAAUACAUGCAAGUCGUACGCACUGGCCCAACUGAUUGAUGGUGCUUGCACCUGAUUGACGAUGGAUCACCAGUGAGUGGCGGACGGGUGAGUAACACGUAGGUAACCUGCCCCGGAGCGGGGGAUAACAUUUGGAAACAGACGCUAAUACCGCAUAACAACAAAAGCCACAUGGCUUUUGUUUGAAAGAUGGCUUUGGCUAUCACUCUGGGAUGGACCUGCGGUGCAUUAGCUAGUUGGUAAGGUAACGGCUUACCAAGGCGAUGAUGCAUAGCCGAGUUGAGAGACUGAUCGGCCACAAUGGAACUGAGACACGGUCCAUACUCCUACGGGAGGCAGCAGUAGGGAAUCUUCCACAAUGGGCGCAAGCCUGAUGGAGCAACACCGCGUGAGUGAAGAAGGGUUUCGGCUCGUAAAGCUCUGUUGUUGGAGAAGAACGUGCGUGAGAGUAACUGUUCACGCAGUGACGGUAUCCAACCAGAAAGUCACGGCUAACUACGUGCCAGCAGCCGCGGUAAUACGUAGGUGGCAAGCGUUAUCCGGAUUUAUUGGGCGUAAAGCGAGCGCAGGCGGUUGCUUAGGUCUGAUGUGAAAGCCUUCGGCUUAACCGAAGAAGUGCAUCGGAAAUCGGGCGACUUGAGUGCAGAGGAGGACAGUGGAACUCCAUGUGUAGCGGGGGAAUGGUAGAUAUAUGGAAGAACACCAGUGGGAGAGGCGGCUGUCUGUGUUGCAACUGACACGGAGGCUCGAAAGCAUGGGGAGGGAACAGGAUUAGAUACCCUGGUAGUCCCUCCCGUAAACGAUGAGUGCUAGGUGUUGGAGGGUUUCCGCCCUUCAGUGCCGGAGCUAACGCAUUAAGCACUCCGCCUGGGGAGUACGACCGCAGGGUUGAAACUCAAAGGAAUUGACGGGGGCCCGCACAAGCGGUGGAGCAUGUGGUUUAAUUCGAAGCUACGCGAAGAACCUUACCAGGUCUUGACAUCUUGCGCUAACCUUAGAGAUAAGGCGUUCCCUUCGGGGACGCAAUGACAGGCGGUGCAUGGUCGUCGUCAGCUCGUGUCGUGAGAUGUUGGGUUAAGUCCCGCAACGAGCGCAACCCUUGUUACUAGUUGCCAGCAUUAAGUUGGGCACUCUAGUGAGACUGCCGGUGACAAACCGGAGGAAGGUGGGGACGACGUCAGAUCAUCAUGCCCCUUAUGACCUGGGCUACACACGUGCUACAAUGGACGGUACAACGAGUCGCAAGCUCGCGAGAGUAAGCUAAUCUCUUAAAGCCGUUCUCAGUUCAGACUGUAGGCUGCAACUCGCCUACACGAAGUCGGAAUCGCUAGUAAUCGCGGAUCAGCAUGCCGCGGUGAAUAAGGUCCCGGGCCUUGCACACACCGCCCGUCA